GAUGAACGCUGGCGGCGUGCCUAAUACAUGCAAGUCGAGCGAACGGACGAGAAGCUUGCUUCUCUGAUGUUAGCGGCGGACGGGUGAGUAACACGUGGAUAACCUACCUAUAAGACUGGGAUAACUUCGGGAAACCGGAGCUAAUACCGGAUGAUAUUUUGAACCGCAUGGUUCAAAAGUGAAAGACGGUCUUGCUGUCACUUAUAGAUGGAUCCGCGCUGCAUUAGCUAGUUGGUAAGGUAACGGCUUACCCAGGCAACGAUGCAUAGCCGACCGGAGAGGGUGAUCGGCCACACUGGAACUGAGACACGGUCCAGACUCCUACGGGAGGCAGCAGUAGGGAAUCUUCCGCAAUGGGCGAAAGCCUGACGGAGCAACGCCGCGUGAGUGAUGAAGGUCUUCGGAUCGUAAAACUCUGUUAUUAGGGAAGAACAUAUGUGUAAGUAACUGUGCACAUCUUGACGGUACCUAAUCAGAAAGCCACGGCUAACUACGUG
This 497-nucleotide ribosomal RNA is filed under the name uncultured bacterium. RNAcentral describes it as "partial 16S ribosomal RNA". It matches the Rfam family "Bacterial small subunit ribosomal RNA", at positions 28 to 507 of the family's 1533-position model. The record is from RNAcentral.